Fukomys damarensis (Damara mole-rat) is the source of this 505-nucleotide long non-coding RNA. RefSeq lists it as uncharacterized. NCBI's taxonomy places the organism in Eukaryota, Metazoa, Chordata, Mammalia, Rodentia, Bathyergidae. The transcript has 3 exons. The record is from RefSeq and is a predicted model, not a curated record.
UCACUUGUUAACCUUCGGCGCGCCGGCGCCUCCCUUCGAAGGUACACAAACCGCCCCACGGCCACCCGCGUUUGCCAAGAGUUGGAGAAAAACAAGCGAGGCGCAGACAACCUCUGACAGAUACAGAAGUUGAAGCUCACAGAGGAUUGGUGACAUAUCAAAGCCAGCAGGGCUAAAGAAGAGCCAGCAUUCGUGACAAUAAGGACCAAGCUCCUCAUAACUGCUCUGCUCUAGUGCCUGCCAAAAUACCAUCUUGCUGCCGAACAAGGCAGCCCCAGGUCUGGGGAGACUGAGGCAGGAGGAUUGCUACGAGUCUGAGGCCAGCCUCUGCUACAUAGCAAGCAACAUGAGGUAUGGUGCUCUCUCAAAGUAUGGCAGUGACAGCAAGCUGCAGCAUUCACAGGGGACACCAGCGAUCCUCUACCAUGCACUCGGUGAUGGUCAGGAGGCUAGGAGGACUCCAUGCAUUUUAAACCUACAAUAUCUUCAGUUGACCAAAGGCUUA